RNAcentral lists this transfer RNA (86 nucleotides) under Candidatus Woesebacteria bacterium RBG_13_34_9. RNAcentral describes it as "tRNA-Leu". It matches the Rfam family "tRNA". Rfam says of the family: Transfer RNA (tRNA) molecules are approximately 80 nucleotides in length. Lineage: Bacteria; Candidatus Woeseibacteriota. The record is from RNAcentral.
GCCGCGAUGGUGGAAUUGGUAGACACGCAGCUCUCAAAAAGCUGUGAGGUUAAAACCUCAUGUCGGUUCGACUCCGACUCGCGGCA